Molecule: ribosomal RNA, 485 nt
Filed under: uncultured bacterium
Lineage: Bacteria
Description: partial 16S ribosomal RNA
Rfam family: Bacterial small subunit ribosomal RNA
Source: RNAcentral
GAUGAACGCUAGCGGCAGGCCUAAUACAUGCAAGUCGAACGGUGUCUUCGGACAUAGUGGCGCACGGGUGCGUAACACGUACGCAACCUACCUUACAUUGGGGGAUAGCCUUUCGAAAGGGAGAUUAAUACCGCAUAAGACAGUAGCUGGGCAUCCAGCAGCUGUUAAAGAUUUAUCGAUGUAUGCUGGGCAUGCGUCCAAUUAGCUAGUUGGUGAGGUAACGGCUCACCAAGGCAAUGAUUGGUAGGGGAACUGAGAGGUCAAUCCCCCACACUGGCACUGGGAUACGGGCCAGACUCCUACGGGAGGCAGCAGUAGGGAAUAUUGGGCAAUGGACGCAAGUCUGACCCAGCCAUGCCGCGUGCAGGAUGAAGGCGUUAUGCGUUGUAAACUGCUUUUAUACAGGAAGAAACGACUCUUGCGAGAGGCAUUGACGGUACUGUAUGAAUAAGCACCGGCUAACUCCGUGCCAGCAGCCGCCGCAG